This 48-nucleotide non-coding RNA is filed under the name Schistosoma mattheei. The record is from RNAcentral. Lineage: Eukaryota; Metazoa; Platyhelminthes; Trematoda; Strigeidida; Schistosomatidae.
AUUCAGCUGACGAGUCCCAAAUAGGACGAAACAUGCGUCAAACUGCAU